GACGUAGGGGGCAAGCGUUGUCCGGAUUUAUUGGGCGUAAAGAGCGUGUAGGCGGCCAUACAGGUCAGCUGUGAAAACUCGAGGCUCAACCUCGAGACGUCGGUUGAAACCGUAUGGCUAGAGUCCGGAAGAGGAGAGUGGAAUUCCCGGUGUAGCGGUGAAAUGCGCAGAUAUCGGGAAGAACACCCAUGGCGAAGGCAGCUCUCUGGGACGGUACUGACGCUGAGACGCGAAAGCGUGGGGAGCGAACAGG
RNAcentral lists this ribosomal RNA (253 nucleotides) under uncultured bacterium. RNAcentral describes it as "partial 16S ribosomal RNA". It matches the Rfam family "Bacterial small subunit ribosomal RNA", at positions 524 to 776 of the family's 1533-position model. The record is from RNAcentral.